RNAcentral lists this ribosomal RNA (1380 nucleotides) under Cylindrospermopsis raciborskii ATC-9502. Its description in RNAcentral is "bacterial SSU rRNA". It matches the Rfam family "Bacterial small subunit ribosomal RNA". The record is from RNAcentral. Lineage: Bacteria; Bacillati; Cyanobacteriota; Cyanophyceae; Nostocales; Aphanizomenonaceae.
ACGCUGGCGGUAUGCUUAACACAUGCAAGUCGAACGGGAUGCUUAGGCAUCUAGUGGCGGACGGGUGAGUAACGCGUGAGAAUCUGGCUCCAGGUCGGGGAUAACAGUUGGAAACGACUGCUAAUACCGGAUGUGCCGAGAGGUGAAAGAUUUAUUGCCUGGAGAUGAGCUCGCGUCUGAUUAGCUAGUUGGUGGUGUAAGGGACCACCAAGGCAUCGAUCAGUAGCUGGUCUGAGAGGAUGAUCAGCCACACUGGGACUGAGACACGGCCCAGACUCCUACGGGAGGCAGCAGUGGGGAAUUUUCCGCAAUGGGCGAAAGCCUGACGGAGCAAUACCGCGUGAGGGAGGAAGGCUCUUGGGUCGUAAACCUCUUUUCUCAAGGAAGAAGAAAGUGACGGUACUUGAGGAAUAAGCAUCGGCUAACUCCGUGCCAGCAGCCGCGGUAAUACGGAGGAUGCAAGCGUUAUCCGGAAUGAUUGGGCGUAAAGGGUCUGCAGGUGGAACUGAAAGUCUGCUGUUAAAGAGUUUGGCUUAACCAAAUAAAAGCGGUGGAAACUACAGAACUAGAGUGCGGUAGGGGCAAAAGGAAUUCCUGGUGUAGCGGUGAAAUGCGUAGAUAUCAGGAAGAACACCGGUGGCGAAAGCGUUUUGCUAGACCGUAACUGACACUGAGGGACGAAAGCUAGGGGAGCGAAUGGGAUUAGAUACCCCAGUAGUCCUAGCCGUAAACGAUGGAUACUAGGCGUGGCUUGUAUCGACCCGAGCCGUGCCGGAGCUAACGCGUUAAGUAUCCCGCCUGGGGAGUACGCACGCAAGUGUGAAACUCAAAGGAAUUGACGGGGGCCCGCACAAGCGGUGGAGUAUGUGGUUUAAUUCGAUGCAACGCGAAGAACCUUACCAAGACUUGACAUCCUGCGAAUCCUGGUGAAAGCUGGGAGUGCCUUAGGGAGCGCAGAGACAGGUGGUGCAUGGCUGUCGUCAGCUCGUGUCGUGAGAUGUUGGGUUAAGUCCCGCAACGAGCGCAACCCUCGUUUUUAGUUGCCAGCAUUAAGUUGGGCACUCUAGAGAGACUGCCGGUGACAAACCGGAGGAAGGUGAGGAUGACGUCAAGUCAGCAUGCCCCUUACGUCUUGGGCUACACACGUACUACAAUGCUACGGACAGAGGGCAGCGAGCCAGGGAUGGCAAGCGAAUCCAGAAACCGUAGCUCAGUUCAGAUCGAAGGCUGCAACUCGCCUUCGUGAAGGAGGAAUCGCUAGUAAUUGCAGGUCAGCAUACUGCAGUGAAUUCGUUCCCGGGCCUUGUACACACCGCCCGUCACACCAUGGAAGUUGGUCACGCCCGAAGUCAUUACCCCAACCGAAAGGAGGGGGAUGCC